This 265-nucleotide transfer-messenger RNA is filed under the name Candidatus Tremblaya princeps PCIT. RNAcentral's name for it is "transfer-messenger RNA Tremb_princ_Pci". It matches the Rfam family "transfer-messenger RNA". From Rfam's summary of the family: Bacterial tmRNA, also known as 10Sa RNA or SsrA, is named for its dual tRNA and mRNA-like properties. Its role is to liberate the mRNA from a stalled ribosome. To accomplish this part of the tmRNA is used as a reading frame that ends in a translation stop signal. Lineage: Bacteria; Pseudomonadati; Pseudomonadota; Betaproteobacteria. RNAcentral also lists the same sequence under 1 other name. The record is from RNAcentral.
GGGGAUGACGGGAUUCGACACGGGGCAAGGGAUGGGGUGCCAUGCCGAGCAGCCCAACGUUAGGGGCACGAAAGGUGCAACGAGUAACAGGUUCGCCAUGGUGGCUAAUGAUUGCCAGUUCGCGUUAGUCGGAAGAGCAGCGGUGUAGUGCGAAGGUAUACUGAUGGACUAGGCUGACGGUCAUAGUGCGACUGUAAACAAAGCAUGUUGUGCACCCCCCACACCUCCCUGCUGGACGUGGGUUCAAUUCCCACCAUCUCCACCA